GUGGAGCAGGCGGCAUAAAUCAAGUCCGCGGGGCAUGGAGGCUGCUGCCGCUGCUGCAGCUCAGCUAGCCCGGGGCGGGAACUCCCCCUUCUCCUUUCGCCUCCCCAGCUCCCACAACCUGCCCUCUCCUUAAUUCUUCCCUGGAUAAUAGCGCCUUAACGACAAUAGUCAAACUAACAGGGUCAGAACGGCAGGGUUUGUUUGUUUUGGUCUACAGAAAAAACAAAACAAAACAAAACAACCCAGCAGCCUAAAGACCUCUGAAAACUGCAUCGCAAGAUGGAAGAGAGAGAGUCCCACUACUGUUUCGAAAGAGUAAGUUAUUAUUCGAAACCAUGGAAGCCAAAUGCAGGGGCACCAUAAAAUGAAUGAAGCUGAGUGCUUGAAACAUUGCUAGGAGGAGACACCAAGAACACCUCAUGAAUCUAAUUGGAGCAUUAGGCAGGCUUUCUCCAUGUGGUGACAAAAUGGCUGCAGUGAGCCCAAGACUCCUCUGUUUUCUGCUGAAUAAUUGCAGCCCAAAGAGACCAUCCCCUUCUAUUUCAGCAAAGUCUUGAGGUUGAUUCUCAUUGGACCUCUUUGGGUCACAUGUCACGCCUCAACCACUGAACCACUCACUUUCUACAGGGGAACGGACCAUGCUAACUGGUCAAACUGGUGGGCUCUUAUCCCCUAGAAAAACAUGGUGUGGAAGGUGAUGGUGGGAGGUGAUCCAUCAACUCAUGUGGUUCAAGAGAGAGUGGGGGGCAGGGCUUCCAGAGGAAUAUCAGGUGCUGUUAUUAGAAAGGAGAACAGUUAUGGGCAGGCAAAACCAGCAGUUACCAUUACAACAGCGUUUUUCAAUCCCACAGUACACUGCAGUCACCUGGGGGAACUUUCAGACAAGACCACCACCAGUAGUGAUCUACUUGGUCUGAGGUGUGGCCUGGGCAUCAGUAGUGGUUUAAACUCUCCAGGUUGUUCUAACAAACAGCUAAGUCAAAGAUUGCUGCAGUAGGGCUAUUAAUAGCUAAUUAAGCCUUAACCCUGGGGAAUUCCUUGAAGUACUAUCCAUCACUCUAAAGGACUGCAUCUCUCAGGGUAGAGUUUUCAACACUGGAGAAAGUCAGGAGUCUGUGUGGUGCAGUAGAUGUGGGAGUGAACUGGGGUAGACGGACAGGAAGCUCUGAUUGCCCCCAAUUCGAACUACAUUAGCAACCAUCUGUUCUGUACACAAGCUGCCAGCUGUGAUCACGGCAAAAAUUAAAUUUUGAGAAACCUUUUGGUCUCCAAA
Felis catus (domestic cat) is the source of this 1273-nucleotide long non-coding RNA. RefSeq lists it as uncharacterized. The record is from RefSeq and is a predicted model, not a curated record. Lineage: Eukaryota; Metazoa; Chordata; Mammalia; Carnivora; Felidae. The transcript has 3 exons.